This 253-nucleotide ribosomal RNA is filed under the name uncultured bacterium. RNAcentral describes it as "partial 16S ribosomal RNA". It matches the Rfam family "Bacterial small subunit ribosomal RNA", at positions 524 to 776 of the family's 1533-position model. The record is from RNAcentral.
UACAGAGGGUGCGAGCGUUAAUCGGAAUUACUGGGCGUAAAGCGCACGCAGGUGGCGACGUAAGUCGGGUGUGAAAGCCCCGGGCUCAACCUCGGAAUUGCAUUCGAUACUGUCGUGCUGGAGUACGGGAGAGGUGGGCGGAAUUCCCGGUGUAGAGGUGAAAUUCGUAGAUAUUAGGGAGAACACCAGUGGCGAAGGCGGCUCACUGGUCCGGUACUGACGCUCAGGUGCGAAAGCGUGGGGAGCAAACAGG